This 559-nucleotide small RNA is filed under the name Histoplasma capsulatum. RNAcentral describes it as "hypothetical RNA". RNAcentral also lists the same sequence under 1 other name. The record is from RNAcentral. Lineage: Eukaryota; Fungi; Ascomycota; Eurotiomycetes; Onygenales; Ajellomycetaceae.
GGCAAUCAUACAAUGCCUUGAAGAAUGGGAAUCCAAGCUCAUGAGCAUUGAGAAGUUCAAGAUCAUCACUGAUCAUAAGAACUUAGAAUACUUUACAACCAUUUACAAGCUCACAGAGAGGCAUAUACACUGGUCACUGUUUCUCAGCCAUUUCUCAUUCACAAUCCAUUACUGACCAGGGGCAGAAAAUGCCCUUGCAGAUGCUCUAUCCCACAGAGAACAAGAUAUGCCCUCUGACAACCUAGAUAACAGAUGGAAGCACUGAGAACAUCAGUUAAUCAACCCCACAAUUAUAGAAAGUCCCAGAUAAUCAGAUAGCUCCCACAUACAUGUUAAUCUGUCUCAAGCUCAGAAACCUUCACUCAAAGAACAAUGAAAGCAAGCAGCAGAGAUGGAUGAAUUCUGGCAACAGAUCACAGAAGCUGUACAAAGCAAAGUAUCUCAAUUCCCCACAGAUAUAUACUCAAGAACAGACAUCUCAGCAUGCUCAAUUGAUGAUGACAACUGUCUAUACUUUUGAGAUAGACAAUGAAUCUCUAAUUCAGAACUCUUACAAACA